RNAcentral lists this ribosomal RNA (480 nucleotides) under uncultured bacterium. RNAcentral describes it as "partial 16S ribosomal RNA". It matches the Rfam family "Bacterial small subunit ribosomal RNA", at positions 28 to 523 of the family's 1533-position model. The record is from RNAcentral.
GACGAACGCUGGCGGCGUGCUUAACACAUGCAAGUCGAGCGAUGAAGCACCUUCGGGCGUGGAUUAGCGGCGAACGGGUGAGGAACACGUGAGGAAUCUGCCUUUCACUUCGGGAUAACUCCGGGAAACCGGGGCUAAUACCGGAUAUUUUCAACUGGCGGCAUCGCCGGUUGAAGAAAGUUUUUCGGUGAAAGAUGACCUCGCGGCCUAUCAGCUUGUUGGUGAGGUAAUGGCUCACCAAGGCGACGACGGGUAGCCGGCCUGAGAGGGCGACCGGCCACACUGGGACUGAGACACGGCCCAGACUCCUACGGGAGGCAGCAGUGGGGAAUAUUGGGCAAUGGAGGAAACUCUGACCCAGCGACGCCGCGUGAGGGAUGAAGGCCUUCGGGUUGUAAACCUCUUUCAGCAGGGAAAAAGCGAAAGUGAAGGUACCUGCAGAAGAAGCACCGGCUAACUAUGUGCCAGCCGCCGCAGUAA